Helianthus annuus (common sunflower) is the source of this 1834-nucleotide long non-coding RNA. RefSeq lists it as uncharacterized. The record is from RefSeq and is a predicted model, not a curated record. NCBI's taxonomy places the organism in Eukaryota, Viridiplantae, Streptophyta, Magnoliopsida, Asterales, Asteraceae. The transcript has 5 exons.
AUGAAAGGACAUUUGCAUUGCCCGAGGCAUUAAAUGCACUGUAGCAAGGAGUGUAAACGUCUCUCUUGUCAGGUGCGUGGGCGGCCACGCGCGCGUGAUAACUGUCAGCGGAACUGUGGGUGUACACGUGUUGCCGCAUAAUUGGUUCUUUUCGAACGUGAUGAUUCGCUUUCUCCCUCCGCAUUAAUUGUGAUGGGUAUAUAAGGGGAAACCGUUCGUGGUUUCCCCUCACUUGUUCAAAAUUUCAAAAAUUUUCGGUGAGAGAAAAGUUUCCUCUUGUCUUCUCCGAUAAGAUUUUCUGAAAUUCCGGUGAGGUAGUUUGAGUUUUUCCACUCACGUUCUUCUGUUUCUUCGAUAUUUCUGAUGGCUGAACCAUCAAGUCCACACAAUGUGGAGGGUGAAAACCCUGAACAGCCGGUUGUGGCGGCUGAUGAAGAUGAAGAUGAUGAUGGUGGUGCCGUCGGUGGUGGUUUACCGGUAUUGAAGUGGACAAUAGGUGGUUUUAAAAACCUGAUGACCACCAUUCAUAUGGCCGACGACUGGAAGGCCACUUACCCACAAGAGGGGGACACCGGUGUCGAUGCUCCGGCCGAUUAUAUUACCAUGUGGGCAGAUUUUUUCACCGAAGGCAACCUUCGGUUGCCGGUGACGGUGUUUGUUGCGGAGGUGUUGGAGUACUAUCAUCUCCAUAUCUCCCAACUUAGUCCAUUUGGGAUGUUCCGAAUCAGGAACUUUGAGUAUACCUUCCGUGCUCAUGGCUUGCCCAUUACUGUUGAGAAUUUCCGGCGGUUUUACCAGUUAACGGUGAACACCGGAUUUUUCUCUUUUAAUCAACGGCAUGGGAGUUUGAAGCUGAUGACACCCCCUAAGGGUGUGACCGGCUGGAAGAAGAAAUUCUUUUACGUCAAAGCCUGUGCGGUCUACGCCCAUAUGACUUUUCGGGACGUAAAUGUGGGUGUUACGGAUGAGGAUAUUCCUAUUGCCACCGCAAAGACUGUGGAUUGGUUCUCUAGGCUGCGGCCUAUUGAACUCAAGAAGCUGGACAACAACCAGUUGUGGGUGUUGCGGAUGAUGCGCAGCAGGCCGGAUAGGAAGGCAAGGCCCGUUCUUCGGGAAAAGAGUGGUGGUAAGCUUGUUACUCUUGAUUAUUUUCCUUGCUUCAUUAUCCUUUUAGUAAUGUGCAUGCCUUGUAUCAGUGGAUGCGGUUGGCUUAUGGAGGAUGUUUGAGCCCGAUUUCGAGGGCAAGGUUGAGCUGAUUCCGGUUGAUCUGCGGGAAGGUUUCAACCUGGAGAUUGUUGGCAAUUUCCGCGUUCCUACCCGUGAUGUGUUGAAGGCACCCGUGCCGGAAGGCCCAGGUAUUCUUGGGGAUCUGGGGAAGUUUGGAAAGCUUAUCCCCAAGAAGCACGUGGAAAAGAAGCAGGUAAAGAAAACCGCGCGGGGCUGCGGUAAGGAGAAAACUGAGGGUUCAGUUGCCCCUCCUCUGGUGUCUCAGGCCGCAGGUAGUGGUGCGGCUGCGGGUGGAACCGCUGCGCCCCCCCCCCCCCCCCCGUUGUUGGUAAGAAGAGAGAACCAGAGCAAAGGGCUGCUGGUGGUGGUGAAUUGAAGCGUCGGAAGCUGAAGUCUAAAAGGGCUGCUCCGGCGCAACAGAAGCCUGCGGUUGCUGCUGAACCCGAAGAUGCAGGAUAUUCUUUCUUUGAUGCUCCUUUGUCUCCCUCGCAUACCACAGCUGCGGGUGCGGGGGUACCAAAGGAGCCUGCGGCACCUUCUGUUAAUGUGACAACCCGAACUUUCAAGGACCUUAGGUACUUAUGGAGCUUGCACAGGGAGGAGCAGG